This 168-nucleotide ribosomal RNA is filed under the name uncultured bacterium. Its description in RNAcentral is "partial 16S ribosomal RNA". It matches the Rfam family "Bacterial small subunit ribosomal RNA", at positions 1334 to 1500 of the family's 1533-position model. The record is from RNAcentral.
GCUAGUAAUGGCAGGUCAGCAUACUGCCGUGAAUACGUUCCCGGGCCUUGUACACACCGCCCGUCACACCAUGAGAGUUGGAGAUACCCGAAGCCUGUGAGCUAACUUUUUAAGAGGCAGCAGUCGAAGGUAGAAUCAAUGAUUGGGGUGAAGUCGUAACAAGGUACC